UGAGGCGCGCCGAGUUUGAUCCUGGCUCAGAGUGAACGCUGGCGGCGUGCUUAACACAUGCAAGUCGAACGAGAACGGGUUAUAGCUUGCUAUAACUGUCAGCUAAGUGGCGCACGGGUGAGUAAUAUAUAGUUAACCUGCCCUAGAGAAGGGGAUAACGUUUGGAAACGGACGCUAACACCCUAUAUGCCUUUAAUACAUAAGUAUGCAAGGGAAACAUUUAUGGCUCUAGGAUGGGACUGUACGGUAUCAGUUAGUUGGUGAGGUAAUGGCUCACCAAGACAAUGACACCUAACUGGUUUGAGAGGAUGAUCAGUCACACUGGAACUGAGACACGGUCCAGACUCCUACGGGAGGCAGCAGUGGGGAAUAUUGCACAAUGGACGAAAGUCUGAUGCAGCAACGCCGCGUGGAGGAUGACACAU
This 425-nucleotide ribosomal RNA is filed under the name uncultured bacterium. RNAcentral describes it as "bacterial SSU rRNA". It matches the Rfam family "Bacterial small subunit ribosomal RNA", at positions 1 to 416 of the family's 1533-position model. The record is from RNAcentral.